RNAcentral lists this ribosomal RNA (405 nucleotides) under uncultured bacterium. RNAcentral describes it as "partial 16S ribosomal RNA". It matches the Rfam family "Bacterial small subunit ribosomal RNA", at positions 28 to 526 of the family's 1533-position model. The record is from RNAcentral.
GACGAACGCUGGCGGCGUGCUUAACACAUGCAAGUCGAACGAGUGGCGAACGGGUGAGUAUCACGUGUGUGAUCUGCCUUGCACUUCGGGAUAAGCUUGGGAAACUGGUUCUAAUACCGGAUUGUGCAAGAUGAGCUCGCGGCCUAUCGGCUUGUUGGUGGGGUAAUGGCUACCAAGGCGCGACGGGUAGCCGUCAUGGGAGGGUGUACGGGCACAUUGGGACUGAGAUACGGACCAGAGUCGUACGGGGGGCAGCGGUGGGGAGUAUUGCGCAGUGAGCGGGAGCCUGAUGCAGCGGCGCCGGGUGGGGAAUGAAGGCUUUCGGGUUGUGAACUCCUUUCGACAGGGACGCGGUACCUGUAUAAGAAGCACCGGCUAACUACGUGCCAGCAGCCGCGGUAAUAC